AUGGGGACGGUGCAUGUGCAAGGUGUGGCGGCGUCGGGGAGGAUGCCGUCCAUGGAGGCGGAGCCGAAGACGCUCACCCUCGAGCAGCUCAAGUACGCAAGGGAGGCGGCGCUGUACGUGGUGAGGACGAGGACGACUGAGGAAGCCAUCAGGAUCUUCACGGAAGGGCUCAAGCCAGUGCGGGGCGUGCAGAAGAUGGGCUCCUCCUCCACGACGGACUCGUCGGACGACGACGUCGAGCUCGGCUCGUCGGAGGAUUCGACGCCGCGCGGCGGCGGCGGCACGGGUUGCCGCACCCACGGACGCUCCAUCAAGAGGGACAUUGCCACUGCACCGUUCUAG
This 342-nucleotide ribosomal RNA is filed under the name Triticum aestivum (bread wheat). Its description in RNAcentral is "partial small subunit ribosomal RNA". The record is from RNAcentral. Lineage: Eukaryota; Viridiplantae; Streptophyta; Magnoliopsida; Poales; Poaceae.